GGCAAUGUGGUCUAGGAAAGCACUUGAGUCUUGGAAUCAAGAGACUUAGGUUAAAAUCCUAGCUGUGCUA
Molecule: transfer RNA, 70 nt
Filed under: Ornithorhynchus anatinus (platypus)
Lineage: Eukaryota; Metazoa; Chordata; Mammalia; Monotremata; Ornithorhynchidae
Rfam family: tRNA
About the family: Transfer RNA (tRNA) molecules are approximately 80 nucleotides in length. Their secondary structure includes four short double-helical elements and three loops (D, anti-codon, and T loops). Further hydrogen bonds mediate the characteristic L-shaped molecular structure. tRNAs have two regions of fundamental functional importance: the anti-codon, which is responsible for specific mRNA codon recognition, and the 3' end, to which the tRNAs corresponding amino acid is attached (by aminoacyl-tRNA synthetases). tRNAs cope with the degeneracy of the genetic code in two manners: having more than one tRNA (with a specific anti-codon) for a particular amino acid; and 'wobble' base-pairing, i.e. permitting non-standard base-pairing at the 3rd anti-codon position.
Source: Rfam by way of RNAcentral